RNAcentral lists this long non-coding RNA (504 nucleotides) under Cicer arietinum (chickpea). Its description in RNAcentral is "long non-coding RNA (CARI_LNC002469)". Lineage: Eukaryota; Viridiplantae; Streptophyta; Magnoliopsida; Fabales; Fabaceae. The record is from RNAcentral.
AAUUUAUUAAAUAUAUAAUGUUGACCACUAAUCAACAAUUAGUAAAAAUAAAUUAAAAAAAACAAUUUAAAGAAAUUCAAAACAUUAAAAAGUAAUGCUGUAACAAGAUAGGUUGUAUUAAUCAUUUAAUGCAUCCUUCUUUUUUAUAAAAACAAUCUUCCAAAAAUAAGAAAAUGUUGAUAUAUACAGCUAUACAAUUCCUUUUAAAAGACUAUAUUUUCAACAAGGCUGCUUCCGACGGCGAGAAAGCAAGCAACAAUAGCGCCGCCAUUAACCCAACAGGAAAUAGAAGGAAUACCAACGGCGGCGGUGGCAAUGGUGGCAAUAUAAGCGGCAGAACAACUAUUGACGCUGCCAGCGCCACCAGAAUCAGAAUGGACCCUGCACUGAAGAACAGCACCAUGCCACUGCCGGUGGUGAUUUUUUGCAUCAGAUUUCCGGCGACCGGAAGAAGAGUGAAACUAGAAAUAGUUAACAAUAGAAUGUGAAUAAGGAAUAUUUGGU